This 335-nucleotide unclassified non-coding RNA is filed under the name soil metagenome. Its description in RNAcentral is "partial contains 5.8S ribosomal RNA, internal transcribed spacer 2, and large subunit ribosomal RNA". The stretch from base 5 to 119 matches the Rfam family "5.8S ribosomal RNA", at positions 40 to 154 of the family's 154-position model. The record is from RNAcentral.
GAUGAGAACGUAGCGAAAUGCGAUAAGUAAUGUGAAUUGCAGAAUUCAGUGAAUCAUCGAAUCUAUGAACGCACAUUGCGCCCGCCAGUAUUCUGGCGGGCAUGCCUGUUCGAGCGUCAUUUCAACCAUCAAGCCCCAGGCUUGUGUUGGGGACCUGCGGCUGCCGCAGGCCCUGAAAACCAGUGGCGGGCUCGCUGUCACACCGGGCGUAGUAGAUUUUAUCUCGCUCAGGGCGUGCUGCGGGUUCCGGCCGUUAAAAAGCCUUUUUUACCCAAGGUUGACCUCGGAUCAGGUAGGAAGACCCGCUGAACUUAAGCAUAUCAAUAAGCGGAGGA